RNAcentral lists this long non-coding RNA (990 nucleotides) under Macaca fascicularis (crab-eating macaque). Its description in RNAcentral is "lncRNA (ENSMFAG00000050620.1)". The record is from RNAcentral. Lineage: Eukaryota; Metazoa; Chordata; Mammalia; Primates; Cercopithecidae.
AUGAUUUGUAAAUACUUCUUUUGCCGGUCAACAGAGCUUUCCGUUCCAUUUUUAAACACACCUGCCUUUCCAGCAAGUCUGGGGCCUCCUGAGGCUGGAGCCCGUCUCCCGUCUGCAGCCCGGUGCGCGGGGCUCGGGGCUCGCGUGGCCUCGCAGCGGGAGGGCGCCCCUGUGUUUGGAGGGUGGGCCGAGGGUGGUCGUGGGGAGGAAGCCAGGGGGAGGCGCCCAGGGCCGGAUGCACGUCGGGGAGCGGUGCUUGAGCUCAGGUGCCCCGGGCCGCCACCUCUUCCGCCUGGCACCUGCCGUCCCGGGCCGCCCACGGGCGUCCGCGGAGCCCCUCCCUCGCCGCCGUCCCGAGUCGCCCCGCGCGAGGCUUUUCCAGGUGCCCCGCCUGGACCGAGCCGGAGUUCCUGGGUCCCCCACCCCCAGCUUCUCCUCCGCGGCAGGGACUCCUCACCUUGCAGGGGCCAUCCAUUCCAUCUGCCUUCCAGUGUCAGCCCAGGCCUCCUGUCUCCCCCUUCUCAGGCCCUCCUGGUGGGAUCCCAUCGCAUCCCCUGCCUCCACUGUCAUCUGCUCCACGUGGUAUCUCCAGGGGGACCUCUCUGCUGGGCUCCAGGCCGCAUAGCUGUGGGUGGCCAGCACGAUGUCCCACCAGGACCCCUGCAGUCCCAGUGCCCCCGCCUGGUCAUCCGGGGACCUGUCCUCACUGCCUGCUGCCUGCACUGUGUGGAAGGACAGAGGCUAAACGAGGAAGCCUGGAACUCUGGUCUCAUGGACAUGGCAGCCUGCCCACCACCCACGCCUGCCCAGCCUUUCUUCACGCAGCGCUUAAAACGUGGAGAGCGGAAUCUUCUGGGCCCAGGUAACACACCUUUGCUCCGACAUUCCCUUCACUACUCACUGGCGAGCUCAGUUGGAAAUUCGCUCCCAGUAGGAGGUUCCGCAGCAGACACAUGGCUUCAGCAGUUCCAGUCUAAAUUUCGAGCAUAA